Molecule: ribosomal RNA, 253 nt
Filed under: uncultured bacterium
Lineage: Bacteria
Description: partial 16S ribosomal RNA
Rfam family: Bacterial small subunit ribosomal RNA
Source: RNAcentral
UACGGAGGGGGCUAGCGUUGUUCGGAAUUACUGGGCGUAAAGCGCGCGUAGGCGGCUUUGUAAGUUAGAGGUGAAAGCCCGGAGCUCAACUCCGGAAUUGCCUUUAAGACUGCAUCGCUAGAAUUGUGGAGAGGUAAGUGGAAUUCCGAGUGUAGAGGUGAAAUUCGUAGAUAUUGGGAAGAACACCGGUGGCGAAGGCGGCUCUCUGGACCGAUACUGACGCUGAGGCGCGAAAGCGUGGGGAGCAAACAGG